Molecule: transfer RNA, 75 nt
Filed under: Paramuricea clavata
Lineage: Eukaryota; Metazoa; Cnidaria; Anthozoa; Malacalcyonacea; Plexauridae
Rfam family: tRNA
About the family: Transfer RNA (tRNA) molecules are approximately 80 nucleotides in length. Their secondary structure includes four short double-helical elements and three loops (D, anti-codon, and T loops).
Source: Rfam by way of RNAcentral
GACCGCGUAGCUCAGUUGGCAGAGCAUUGGGCUAGUAUUCCAAAGGUCGUAUAGGUUCGAUUCCCACCGUGGUCA